RNAcentral lists this long non-coding RNA (18618 nucleotides) under Solanum lycopersicum (tomato). RNAcentral's name for it is "long non-coding RNA (SLYC_LNC001321)". Lineage: Eukaryota; Viridiplantae; Streptophyta; Magnoliopsida; Solanales; Solanaceae. The record is from RNAcentral.
AUUUCAAUUCUUUAAUUUUCACUAUUUUUGAAUCGUUCUUCUUCCGAUCAAUCACUUGGGCUAUUUUCUAGUAAGUAAUUUUCGUUUUUUCUCUUCUUUUCUAAUUUUAUUCUAAUGUAUGUUACUUUGUGCAGUGCUCUAAUUACUUGACAUUAGUUAAAUGGUUAUGAUUGAUUUAAACAUAAAAUAUUUGGUUACAAAAUUAUUAUGAGCCUGUGCUAGAAAAUUAUUAUCAAUUUUAAUAUUAAACGAUUAUCACAAAUCAAUUCAAUUAUAAGUGUUGAAAUCAAUCAAUUUAUUUAUUCUAAUUUUAAAAUUUAUUUUUAAAAUAUAAAAUAUGAGAUUAAGCUUCUCUUCAUUUAGUUUCAUUAUACAUCAAAAAUUAACCAUAAAAAUUAGAAGUGUGAAUUGUUAUACUCUGAACCCAAUCCUUAGAUUAGGAGAGACUGAUAUAUGAAAACAUUUUUUAUCGCAUAAUAAAAAAAUAAAGAAUUUUUCUCUUUUGUGCAUGUCACAUGUGAAUAUUUAUUUGGAUUAAUGUAUCUCAAAUCUAAUAUAAUCUGAAUUUUUGAAUGAAUUUAUAUCCAAUAACCUUAAAUAACUACAACUGGCUUGUGGAUUAGCAAUCGAUAUUAACUAUUUAGAGUGUGAGUGUCUUGUACAAUUAACGAUGGUUUUGAAAUUUUUCAUCCAUUAUGUCUACCGAUUUUACACCAUGUGAGUCUACCUUUUGAAUGACAGAUGUCAUGUUAUAUUUUUGGCUUCUCUUCUUCUUUAAUUACAAAUCAAUUUCCAAUUUCAUUCAUAUAAUUGUUUCAUUCUGCUUUCUCUUUCUAGUAGGUACCUAUGUUUCUUCUUCAUCUUUUAUUUUUGCUCACUUUUUUAAUUUAAUUUGUUGAUUCCCUUUCUAAAUUUUCAGUAAUGCCUACGAUUAUCCAUUUGUCAUGUUUUUGAAUUUCUUAUUAGUACAUCUAAAAGUAGCUUAGAUUCAUUUACCUAAGUUUCACUCUUUUUUAGUCUUUCUCUUUUCUCUUCCUCUAGUUUAUCGCUUGAAUUAUUUUCUGGUCAGUUUCUUUCGUACUUGUUUUUCUUUUCUAAUUUCAUUACACGGUAUGUUACUUUCUGUAUUUUAAAAAAUAAUUUUUCUUUUCUACUUUAAUUACAUGGUAUAUUACUUUUUUUUUUGAAAAAUUAUUUCUUUACAUAAUUAAACUUAUGAUUAUGAUUGAUAUAAACAUAGAGACUUUGGUUACAAAAUUAUUAUGGCCCUCUGUUAGGAAAAUAUUGUAAAUUUUAGUAAUAUUAAUCAAAUUUAGUGAUUAGUUCUAAGGCAUAAUGACCUGGGAGACUGUUAUACUUGGCUUUGUCUGUCAGUUGGACCCUUAUACUCACGACUUGAACCUUAUAACUCACAAAAAUGCAAUACUUUAAACAUCUUUCUUAUUAUAUGUGUGUGAAUGUAGCACAACUGCUUACACAUAAAAUUCCAUGUCAUUUUAUAGAAUUCCAUGUCAUAUAAGAAAUUAAAAUCUAAAAAAAAUAAAAUAAGUUUGCACAUUAAUAUUUUUAGUAUCAUGUUCUUAAUAUUUGCUCAUAAUUGAUCACUAAAUUCAUGUCAAAUUGGUCUAAUUCUUUCUACUUGACAUGAAUUUUUUUACACUCAAAGCUUACCAACAUAGACCCAGUAAUUUUCAAUCAUAAUUUUGAAUAAUUUUCAUAAAUUUAGAAAAUUUCAUUUGUUAUUCUUCAAACUUCUUCAUGAAAUUUUUCAACUUUUCAGUAUAUAUCAUUACUCUUCACAAUUGCAAAAUUAUCUCAACUUCAAUCUUUCACAAUCGAAAGCCCAGAUUUUAGAAGUGUGUAAAUUGAUCAAGAUUCAUAGAGAAGAAUUUUGAAUUCUAAAAUUAAAGAAAUUAAAAUGGUUGAGAUAAUUUUGGUUAGGUGGGGUAAGGGUGGGGGCGGGUGUUAAGAAGAAGAAGAAGAAGAAUAAGAAGGGGGAGGGGUAGGGUGGGGUGGUGGGUGGUUUAAAGGAAGAAGGAGAGGGUGGGGUGGGGGCUAAAGGAAGAAGAAAGUUUCAAGUGAAGGAGUGGGGUGGGAUAGGGGACUAAUGGGUUGAUUUUUCUCUUUUUAAAUUUAAAUUAUUACUAAUGAUAGUUAAUACAAAAAAAUAUAUAGUCACUCGCUUUAAGGCAUGUGCAGUCAAGUAUUUUUCCAUCUCAAGUAUAAUGGUUCAACUAACAAAUAGAAUCAAGUACAAGGGUCUUCCAAGUUAUUUUGCCUAGUUAUAAUAUCAAUCAAUUUUGCUACAAUUUUCAGAAUAUGUCAACAAUGAUCAUUUAUAUCAUCAUUAUAGUUCAUAAGUCUUAGUGAAUGUUAUCACUUUUUUUUUUUUGAAAUUAGGUAUUAGGCCUAGCUCACACCCAAAAGUUAGCUUAAAGGGGGGAGGAUUUCCCAAGGCUUAUAAGGAAUUUACCCAUAUCAUGAAUCACCGAUGUGGGACUUUAGUCAUUCUUUAACACCCCACCUCACGCCCAGUGCUUAGCAUUUGAUGCGUGGGCAAUUUUGACUUUGGGGGUCCCAACAUUUGGUGAGACUUGCCCUACUAUAGCAUAUGAAAUUAGGUCUUAAGCCUACCUCACACCCCAAAAGCUAGCUCAAAGGGAGGAGGAUUUUUCAAACCUCAUAAAGAGUCCACCCAUCUUAUUAAUCAGCGAUGUGAGACUUUUGUCAUUCGUUAACACCACACCUCACGCCCAGUGCUUAGCAUUUGGUGUGUGAAAAAUUUUGGUUUUGGGGGCCCCAACAUCGGGUGAGACAGGCCCUGCUCUGAUACCAUGUAAAAUUAGGUCUUAGGCCUAGCUCACAACCCAAAAGCUAGCUCAAAGGGAGGAGGAUUUUCCAAGCCUCAUAAGGAGUCCACCCAUCUCAUUAACCACCAAUGUGGGACUUUUGUCAUUCUUUAACACCCCACCUCACGCCCAGUGCUUAGCAUCGGUGUUAGCAUAUGGGCGUGGACAAUUUUGAUUUUGGGGGCCCCAACAUCGGGUGAGGAAGGCCCUACUCUGAUACCAUGUGAAAUUAGGUCUUAGGCCUAGCUCACGACCCAAAAGUUAGCUCAAAGGGAGGAGAAUUGUCCAGCCUCAUAAGGAGUCUAUCCAUCUCAUUAACCACCGAUGUGGGACUUUUGUCAUUCUUUAACACCCCACCUCACGCCCAGUGCUUAGCAUCUGGUCUGUGGGCAUUAAUAAGACAUUGAUAUAAUAAAAUACGUAUGAGAGCGUAAAUUAAAUGAAUAUCUACAUAUAAAUAUGAUCAUACUAAUAAUAUGAAUUGAUGUAUGACUAUUACUAAUUAAGGUGUGUUACUCAUAAAUUAAGAUCUACCUAUAAUUAAAUAUAUGAAUUUCUAAUCUUUCACUAAGAAGUUUUUGAGUAGGAAAAACUUCAUUCGUUUUUGGAAAUCUAGAAUUUGUUUGAAAAGUCAUUUUAUAAUUGAAAUUAUGUCACGAUCAAAAAUGAAUAGUAAGUGUUACCCACACUUAACCUUUUAAGUGGGCAAAUCAAGAAUUCUUAACCCCAACUUAUAUCAAUAAUUCAACUACGCAUACCAAUAAAAUAUGGAAGCUUAAAACUUAUUGAAGUAACCAAUCAAAUAAACAUCUAAAGUUUAACACUUAUCAUCCCAAAUAUCUAAAAGUUAUCACAUCAAUGACAUCUAUUUUUAAAAUACCCAGUCAAAAAGUAUUAGUGACACCAAAGUAAGUAAAUAAAAGGGUUCAUGUCCAAAAUUUAAGGACAUCAUACCCUGACUGAGAUAAUCCAGCACGAGCUAGAAGGAAUAGGUCACCCUGAAAUAUGAGGUGCUGGAGAAUGGCUAGAGUUGAGGGCGAGUCGAAGUCGAUGAUAGACUUGUUGCCCUCCACAAAAGAAAAAACGAAGAAAACACAAGUAGGGGCCAGUACAAGAAACACGUACUGAGCAGGUAUCAUCAGCCAACCCAAAAUAGAAACUAAUAUAUAUUGAAUAAUAGUAUAAAAUCAACUAUGAUACUUGACAGGUGGCAAGCAACAAACAACAUAAACCAGUAACAACAACACCAUAGUAGGUACACAGUCAAUCACAAUAUCAAGAACACAUAUGAGGACUCAUGCCUCCACACCAUACUCAUUUGGGAAAUGGAUUCUUUGAGAUUAAGUACAUUAAGUUAAUCCAAGAUUUCUUUCCUUUAAUGUUAUCGUGUUGGAAUGUGACACUUUUAUCCAAUUAUAUCGUGUUGGAACGUGAUACUGUCACGACCCAAAUCCGGGCCGCGACUGGCACCCACACUUACCCUCUUAUGUGAGCGAACCAACCAAUCUAAACCUUAACAUUUCGAUAUAAUGUCAACAUAAAGUAAUGCGGAAGACUUAAACUCAUUAAUAAAAACCAAUUCAAUAACUAUUAUUUCCCAAAAUCUGGAAGUCAUCAUCACAAGAACAUCUACUUAAAAUUACUAAAUCUAAGAGUUUCUAAGAAGCUAAAAAUACAUAAAAGCUAGUCCAUGCCGGAACUUUAAGGCAUCAAGACAUGAAGAGGAAGAUCCAGUCCAAGCUAGAAGCAUUAGCUCACCCUGAUAUCCGGAGUAAUGAAGACUGGCUAGAGUUACUGUUGAGUCGAAGAUGACGGCACGUUUGCUGCACUCCACAAAUAAACAAGAAGAAAACAUAAAAGUAGGGGUCAGUACAAAGCACGGGUACUGAGUAGAUAUCAUCGGCCAACUCAAAAUAGAAAUCAAUAUAUACCAAGUAAUAUCAUAAAAUCAACUAUGAUACUCAACAUGUAGCAACAGCAAGUACUAUAUCAUUAACAAUUACCGUCAGUUCACACAUGAGGACUCAAGCCUCAAUACCGUACUCAUUUGGGAAUUAUGUUCAUUAGAUUGAGUAUAUUACCAUCUUUCAAGAUUCAUUAUCUUUAUUUCUCUUGUGUCGGUACGUGACACUCCGCUCCCUCAUAUUCAUUAAUCCUCUUGUGUCGGUACGUGACACUCUGCUCCCCUAAAUCUACGUGUCGGUUCGUGACACCCGAUCCCCUAAAUCUACGUGUCGGUUCGUGACACCCGAUCCCCUAAAUCUACGUGUCGGUUCGUGACACCCGAUCUCCUAAAUCUACGUGUCGGUUCGUGACACCCGAUCCCCUAAAUCUACGUGUCAGUUCGUGACACCCGAUUCCCUAAAUCUACGUGUCAGUUCGUGACACCGGAUCCCCUAAAUCUACGUGUCGGUUCGUGACACCCGAUCCCCUAAUCUCCUUCUAUCAAUUCAUCAGGCCUUCUUUCUUACCAAGGCAUCAUCAAUCUCAUUAUUUUAGUUCAUCACGCCUUCUUUUAUACCAAGGCCUCAUUAUUACAUUCAUGCAAGCAUUGGGAUUCAAGAUUUGGGAUUCAAUAACUUCAUCGUGCUUAUAUAAUCACGAUUAUAUAAUUACAUUCAUGCAAGCAUACAAUUAAGCACAUAGCAGGCUUUACAAUAUUAUCAAUACAUAUCAUUCGCUAUUAAGAGUUUACUACGAAUAUCGUAAGGGAAACCAUAACCUACCUCCACCGAAGAUUCGUGAUCAAGCAAGCAAUUUCCCAAGCUUUGUGUUUUUUCCUCUCGUUCGAUCCUCUCUCUAUCGUUUCUCGUUCCUUCUCUUUGUUCUUUCUAUUUUCUUUAUUCAAACCCUCUUUCUUUUACCCUAAUUAGUAUAUAAUUAAGAAUAAAAGAUGGCAAUAAUAACCCACUAAUUAACUUAAGGUUACCUCUUUUAACCCCCAAGUAAUUAGACUUAUUAACAUUGAUCCACUAACAUUAUAAUUAAAGCAGGAAUAGUCAAAAACGUCCCUUAAAACGUAUCAAGAAAUCUGACCCAGACUGGGAUUACGCAAUCUGUGACGGCCCGUCGUGCCUGUGACGGCCCGUCGUGCCUGCGACGGUCCGUCCUGCUGCUCCGUCACAGAGUUCAGAGACUCAAUUUCUCUGAAGAGUCUGUGACGGUCCGUCCUGCCAUUCCGUUACGAUGUUCAGAGAGUUGAUUUUCAGUACCCAAUUUCAGAUUUUUCCAAGUGUUUUGAAACGAGACCCUGCGACGGUCCGUCGUGCCCAUUACGGUCCGUCGUGGGGUCCGUCGCCUCGGCCUGUUUUUCCAGAAAUAAAAUCUGCUGCUCAAAACGACUAAACAGGUCGUUACAAUAGAUACCAAUUUACCCAUCGUUCGUCCCUGAACGAUCACAAGAAGGAAAACAAGGGCGAAAAGGAGUACCUGAAUCUGUAAACAGAUGUGUGUAUCUUUCUCGCAUAUCUGCCUCCUUCUUCCAAGUGGCUUCUUCAACGGGUCAAUUCUUCCAUUGAACUUUGAUGGAUGCAAUCUCCCUGGAGCUCAACUUGCGAACUUCUCUAUCUAAAAUGGCAACAGGUUCCUCCUCAUAAGAUAAAUUCUCAUCAAGCAAAACUGAAUCCCAACGGAUAAUGUAGUUUCCAUCCCCAUGGUAUCUUUUCAACAUCGACACAUGGAAUACUGGAUGCACUCCGGACAGCCAUGGAGGCAAGGCUAACUCAUAAGCCACCUCCCCUACUCGCUUAAGUACUUCAAAUGGACCAAUAUACCUUGGGCUAAGUUUACCUCGCUUACCAAACCGCAUCACCCCUUUCAUUGGCGAAACCUUCAACAAGACUUGUUCACCCUCCAUAAACUCCAAGUCUCUAACCUUCCGAUCUGCAUACUCCUUUUGUCUACUUUGCGCCGCUAGAAGCUUUUCUUGAAUAGAUUUCACUUUAUCUAACGAUUCCCUCAGAGGGUCAGUACUCCAAGGUCUGACUUCAAAUGCAUCAAACCACCCAAUGGGAGACCUACAUCUUCUCCCGUAUAGUGCCUCAAAUGGGGCCAUAUCAAUACUUGAGUGAUAGCUAUUGUUGUAGGAGAACUCUGCUAAAGGUAAGAAGCUAUCCAACUGACCACCAAAUUCAAUCACACAUGCACGAAGCAUAUCCUUCAACACUUGAAUCGUUCGCUCAGACUGACCAUCGGUGUGAGGAUGGAACGCAGUACUAAGGUCCAACCUAGUACCCAAUUCCGCAUGUAAUGUUUUCCAAAACUUACAAGUAAACUACGUACCUCUAUCUGAUAUAAUGGAGAGUGGAACCCCAUGCAAUCGCACCACUUCCGAGAUGUAAAGUUUGGCUAACUUCUCUGCAUUGUAAGUAACCUUGACCGGAAUGAAAUGAGCAGACUUAGUUAACCUUUCAACAAUUACCCAAAUAGAAUCAAACUUUCCCAAUGUCUUUGGAAGACCAACCACGAAAUCCAUUGCAAUCCUUUCCCACUUCCAUUCAGGAAUGGGCAUUCUCUGAAGUGUUCCUCCGGGCCUUUGGUGUUCAUACUUUACUUGUUGACAGUUUGGACAUUUGGCAAUAAAAUCCACAAUAUCACGCUUCAUUCUACUCCACCAAAAGUGUUGUUUUAGGUCACGGUACAUCUUUGUUGCACCCGGAUGUAUCGAAUACCUUAAACUAUGAGCCUCUGUCAGAAUAGUGUUGAUCAAAUUAUCGACGCGGGGUACACAUACCCUUCCCUUGAUCCUUAAAACACCUUCCUCAUCGAUUUGUGCUUCCUUAGCCUCUCCUCGCAAUACCUUAUCUUGGAUUCUGCGCAGUUUCUCAUUAUCAAACUGUAUUCCCUUAAUCUUGUCAAGAAAGGAAGAUCUUGCCUCCACACAAGCCAACAAUCCUCCCUUCUCAUUUACUUCUAAUCUCAUAAGGUCGUUAGCCAGAGUCUGAACCUCUCUAGCCAAUGGACGUCUAGAAACCUGCAAGUGAGCUAGACUUCCCAUGCUCCCUGUCUUUCUACUUAAGGCGUCUGCCACAACAUUAGCCUUUCCCGGAUGAUACAAGAUAGUGAUAUCAUAGUCCUUCAGUAGUUCCAUCCAUCUCCUCUGUCUCAAAUUCAAAUCUUUUUGAGUAAAGACAUAUUGUAGGCUACGAUGAUCCGUAUAGACCUCACACUUAACCCCAUAUAAAUAGUGUCUCCAUUGCUUAAUGCGAACACUACCGCGGCCAAUUCCAAAUCAUGAGUUAGAUAGUUAUGUUCAUGCACUUUUAAUUGUCGUGAGGCAUAAGAAAUCACAUUCUUCUCUUGCAUUAGCACUGCACCCAAACCCGAACAGGAUGCAUCACAAUAGACAAUGAAAUUCUUACCUUUCACUGGCAAGGUGAGAAUUGGUACAGUAGUCAACAGAGUCUUGAGCUUCUGAAAGCUUUCCUCACACUCAUCUGACCAUACAAAUGGAACAUUUUGCAUAGUCAAGUUCGUCAGUUGGGAAGCAAUAGAAGAGAAUCCCUUGACGAAUCGGCGGUAGUAGCUAGCUAACCCAACAAAGCUCCUUAUUUCUGACACAUUAGUAGGUCUUACCCCAUUCUUCACUGUCUCAAUCUUAGAAGGAUCCACCAUCACUCCAUCCUUAGAAACCACGUGCCCUAAGAAGAACACUGCAUCUAGCCAAAACUCACACUUAGAGAACUUGGCAUAAAGCUUUUUCUCCCUCAACAUUUCCAAUACCAUUCUCAAAUGCUCCUCAUGUUCCUCCUUACUUUUAGAGUAUAUCAGUAUAUCAUCAAUAAAUACGACCUCAAAGAGAUCCAAAUAUGGCUUAAAAAUCCCGUUCAUCAAACUCAUGAACGCAGCAGGGGCAUUCGUAAGACCAAAAGACAUCACUACAAAUUCGUAAUGCCCGUACCUAGUUCUAAAAGCAGUCUUUGGCACAUCCGUUGCCCGUAUUUUCAAUUGAUGAUAACCGGAUCUCAAGUCAAUCUUAGAGAAGACACAAGCACCUUGUAAGUGAUCGAACAAGUCAUAAAUGCGAGGAAGAGGAUACUUGUUCUUUAUGGUUACCUUGUUCAACUGCCGGUAGUCUAUGCACAUCCGAAAACUCCCAUCCUUCUUCUUUACAAACAAAACCGGAGCACCCCAAGGAGAUGCACUUGGUCUAAUGAAGCCUUUGUUCAACAACUCUUGAAGUUGGGCUUUUAACUCUCUUAACUCCGCGGGAGCCAUUCUAUAAGGGGGUAUAGAAAUGGGGCGAGUACCUAGUUCAAGAUCAAUACAAAAGUCAAUAUCCCUAUCUGGUGGCAUACCACAAAGAUCUGCAGGGAACACAUCCAGAAACUCACGGACCACCAAAACCGACUCAAUCGGAGGUACUUGGGUAGUGUCAUCCUUGAGAUGUGCCAAGAAAGCUAAACACCAUUUACUAACCAUUUUCUUAGCACGAAGAAAGGAGAUGAUACGCACCGGAUUGGAAGUGUAGUCACCUUCCCACACUAACGGAUCUGUCCCAGGCUUGGCUAACGUCACCGUUUUAGCAUUACAAUCCAAGAUCGCAAAUUGCGAAGAAAGCCAAGUCAUACCCAGAAUUACAUCAAAAUCAUCCAUUUCUAAGAUAACCAAAUCUACAUAAGUGUUUCUCCCCACAAAGUUCACCAAACAAGACAUAUAUACCUUUUCAACUACCACAGACUCACCCAUCGGAGUAGAAACACGAAUAGGCAUAUCAAGUAAUUCACAAUGUAAAUUUAGACCAUUAGCAAAUGAGGAAGAUACAUAAGAAAAUGUGGAUCCAGGAUCAAACAAUACAGAAGCCAUGCAAUCACAAACCAGAAGAUUACCUGUGAUGACAGCAUCAGAUGCCACCGCUUCAGACCGCCCAGGGAAAGCGUAACAAUGGGCCCUAUCGUUUGUCUGUCCAUUGCCCCUACCAUGUUGUGAUGUAGUGGCUCCAGUUUGCCCAUCACCUCGGCCAUUUUGGUGACCACCAUUACCUCGACCACCACGUCCUCCAGAAUAACGGCCUCUACCAUGACCACCUCUACCUCUAGCCAUUGGGGAUCUAUAACUCUGUUUUGGACAAUUUCUCCUAAUAUGUCCAGUCUCCCCACAACCAUAACACUCUCUAGAGACAAGCAUAGGUCUCUCAGAGAAGUGUUGACCGGUCUGAGGUGGACCCCCAACUGCAGUCUGUAGUGAAGACUGAAUGGGUCGAACUGAGUAACCUCCGGAACCCUGUCCUCUAGAGUAAGAACCAUUAAACUCACCUCCCUUUCGAAACCUCUUUGAUGUCGAUGCCAUGGUGAAUUUAUCUGGCUUCACUCCUUCCACCUCUACCACGAAAUCUACCACUUCUUGGAAGGAUUUUGCCGUAGCCGCUACCUGUAAGGCUGAAAUCCGCAACUCCGACCUCAACCCCUUCACAAAACGACGAAUCCGCUCUUGUGGACCGAAACAAAGUUGAGUGGCAUAUCUGGAUAGUGCACGAAACUUAGUCUCGUAUGCAUUGACCGACAUCCUACCUUGCUCUAGGCUCAAGAACUCAUCCCUUUUCCUAUCCCUCAAAGUCCGGGGGAUAUACUUCUCCAUAAACAAGCUAGAGAAUGAGGCCCAAGUCAUAGGUGGUGCCUCCGUUGGUUGACACUCAACAUGUGACCGCCACCACAUUUUGGCGUUCCCUUGAAACUGAUAACUCACGAACUCAACACCAAACCGUUCCACUAUACCCAUCUUGUGUAGUAGCUCAUGACAGUCAACCAGAAAAUCGUAAGCAUCCUCAGAUUCAGCACCCUUGAAGACUGGAGGUUUCAAUAUCAAGAACUUACUGAAAAGUUCAUGCUGAUCAUUUGUCAUUAUAGGCCCAGUAGUCAGACGUGGAAAUGUGCCUAUAUCCAAUGAGGCAUCCAUACGAGGAGCCAUAGUGGCUGCAUGUUGUACCUCUAAAACCGGAGGUGUUGGUGCAGAAAACACUGGAGGGACCUGACCCUGAUCAGACAACCCACUAAGAUAAGCGAGAACCUGAUUGAUCAUCUCUGGGGUAGGUUGGGGUGGAAAUUCCUAAUUUUGCACUUGUCAUUCUCUCCUUCCUCACCCUCUCUUACCACUUCCUCAGUCGGUGGAGGAGUCACCGCCCUAGUAUCAGACGGGCUAGGUGCUCAUCCUCUUCCUCUAGAGGACGUCCUCCCACGACCUCUACCACGGCCUCUUGCCGCUACUCUUCCUCGAGCUACAGCCCCAGUGGCUGGCUCAGGCGUUUCUUGUCUUGCCGAUGUUGGCGCAGUCGUUGCUCUAGUUCUAACCAUCUGCGAAAUAGAGUGAAGAUGGUCAGAUACCAAUUCGUAUCACCUAGACACCAAUUGGACCCAAGUAAUAGCACGAAAGAAAGAAAGAAAGAAUGGAAUUUUCCUAAAGUCUUAUAGCCUCUCAAAGAAGAGUAAAGGCGUCCCCCUACCGUUCCUUAAGACUCUACUAGACUCGUUCUUGUGUGAUGAGACCAACGAACCUAAUGCUCUGAUACCAAGAAGUUUUUGAGUAGGAAAAACUUCUUUCGUUUUUGGAAAUCUAGAAUUUGUUUGAAAAGUCAUUUUAUAAUUGAAAUUAUGUCACGAUCAAAAAUGAAUAGUAAGUGUUACCCACACUUAACCUUUUAAGUGGGCAAAUCAAGAAUUCUUAACCCCAACUUAUAUCAAUAAUUCAACUACGCAUACCAAUAAAAUAUGGAAGCUUAAAACUUAUUGAAGUAACCAAUCAAAUAAACAUCUAAAGUUUAACACUUAUCAUCCCAAAUAUCUAAAAGUUAUCACAUCAAUGACAUCUAUUUUUAAAAUACCCAGUCAAAAAGUAUUAGUGACACCAAAGUAAGUAAAUAAAAGGGUUCAUGUCCAAAAUUUAAGGACAUCAUACCCUGACUGAGAUAAUCCAGCACGAGCUAGAAGGAAUAGGUCACCCUGAAAUAUGAGGUGCUGGAGAAUGGCUAGAGUUGAGGGCGAGUCGAAGUCGAUGAUAGACUUGUUGCCCUCCACAAAAGAAAAAACGAAGAAAACACAAGUAGGGGCCAGUACAAGAAACACGUACUGAGCAGGUAUCAUCAGCCAACCCAAAAUAGAAACUAAUAUAUAUUGAAUAAUAGUAUAAAAUCAACUAUGAUACUUGACAGGUGGCAAGCAACAAACAACAUAAACCAGUAACAACAACACCAUAGUAGGUACACAGUCAAUCACAUUAUCAAGAACACAUAUGAGGACUCAUGCCUCCACACCAUACUCAUUUGGGAAAUGGAUUCUUUGAGAUUAAGUACAUUAAGUUAAUCCAAGAUUUCUUUCCUUUAAUGUUAUCGUGUUGGAAUGUGACACUUUGAUCCAAUUAUAUCGUGUUGGAACGUGAUACUGUCACGACCCAAAUCCGGGCCGCGACUGGCACCCACACUUACCCUCCUAUGUGAGCGAACCAACCAAUCUAAACCUUAACAUUUCGAUAUAAUGUCAACAUAAAGUAAUGCGGAAGACUUAAACUCAUUAAUAAAAACCAAUUCAAUAACUAUUAUUUCCCAAAAUCUGGAAGUCAUCAUCACAAGAACAUCUACUUCAAAUUACUAAAUCUAAGAGUUUCUAAGAAGCUAAAAAUACAUAAAAGCUAGUUCAUGCCGGAACUUUAAGGCAUCAAGACAUGAAGAGGAAGAUCCAGUCCAAGCUAGAAGCAUUAGCUCACCCUGAUAUCCAGAGUAAUGAAGACUGGCUAGAGUUACUGUUGAGUCGAAGAUGACGGCACGUUUGCUGCACUCCACAAAUAAACAAGAAGAAAACAUAAAAGUAGGGGUCAGUACAAAGCACGGGUACUGAGUAGAUAUCAUCGGCCAACUCAAAAUAGAAAUCAAUAUAUACCAAGUAAUAUCAUAAAAUCAACUAUGAUACUCAACAUGUAGCAACAACAAGUACUAUAUCAUUAACAAUUACCGUCAGUUCACACAUGAGGACUCAAGCUUCAAUACCGUACUCAUUUGGGAAUUAUGUUCAUUAGAUUGAGUAUAUUACCAUCUUUCAAGAUUCAUUAUCUUUAUUUCUCUUGUGUCGGUACGUGACACUCCGCUCCCUCAUAUUCAUUAAUCCUCUUGUGUCGGUACGUGACACUCUGCUCCCCUAAAUCUACGUGUCGAUUCGUGACACCCGAUCCCCUAAAUCUACGUGUCGGUUCGUGACACCCGAUCCCCUAAAUCUACGUGUCAGUUCGUGACACCCGAUCCCCUAAAUCUACGUGUCGAUUAGUGACACCCGAUCCCCUAAAUCUACGUGUCGGUUCGUGACACCCGAUCCACUAAAUCUACGUGUCAGUUCGUGACACCCGAUCCCCUAAAUCUACGUGUCGGUUCGUGACACCCGAUUCCCUAAUCUCCUUCUAUCAAUUCAUCAAGCCUUCUUUCUUACCAAGGCAUCAUCAAUCUCAUUAUUUUAGUUCAUCACGCCUUCUUUUAUACCAAGGCCUCAUUAUUAACAGAAAGAUUAGGGUUUUGCAAGAUUUGGGAUUCAAUAACUUCAUCAUGCUUAUAUAAUCACAAUUAUAUAAUUACAUUCAUGCAAGCAUACAAUUAAGCACAUAGCAGGGUUUACAAUAUUAUCAAUACAUAUCAUUCGCUAUUAAGAGUUUACUACGAAUAUCAUAAGGGAAACCAUAACCUACCUCCACCGAAGAUUCAUGAUCAAGCAAGCAAUUUCCCAAGCUUUGUGUUUUUUCCUCUCGUUCGAUCCUCUCUCUAUCGUUUCUCGUUCCUUCUCUUUGUUCUUUCUAUUUUCUUUAUUCAAACCCUCUUUCUUUUACCCUAAUUAGUAUAUAAUUAAGAAUAAAAGAUGACAAUAAUAACCCACUAAUUAACUUAAGGUUACCUCUUUUAACCCCCAAGUAAUUAGACUUAUUAACAUUGACCCACUAACUUUAUAAUUAAAGCAGGAAUAGUCAAAAACGUCCCUUAAAACGUAUCAAGAAAUCCGACCCAGACUGAGAUUACGCAGUCUGUGACGGCCCGUCGUGCCUGCGACGGUCCGUCCUGCUGCUCCGUCACAGAGUUCAGAGACUCAAUUUCUCUGAAGAGUCUGUGACGGUCCGUCACACCUAUGACGGUCCGUCCUGCCAUUCCGUUACGAAGUUCAGAGAGUCGAUUUUCAGUACCCAAUUUCAGAUUUUUCCAAGUGUUUUGAAACGAGACCCUGCGACGGUCCGUCGUGGGGUCCGUCGCCUCAGCCUGUUUUUCCAGAAAUAAAAUAUGCUGCUCAAAACGACUAAACAGGUCGUUACAGAUACUCGAUCCAAUAAUAUUGUGUCAGAACGUGACACUCUGAUCCAAUUAUCUCAUUAAUUUAUUUUAUCAAGCCUUCUUUAUCCAAGGCAUCACUUUGAUAGAGAGGGUUCAAGAUUAUAAAUUCUACGGUCUCAAGAAAUUUGACCAAUCACAAACCACACAACCACACAAUCAAGUACAUAGGAAACUUCACAAUAUCACUCAAUACAUAUCAAUCACUAUUGAGGAGUCGAUCUAUCAAUUAGAUAUAACCAUAAUCUACCUCCACCGAAGAACCAAAUUCAAGCAAGCUGCUUUACCAAUACUUUUCCUUUCCGCAAUGCCUUCGAACUUUUUCAAUCUAUCAAGUAUAUAUAUGUGCAUAACUUGUAAGGUAAUGAAUCUAUCAACACUCAAUUUAUUCUAUGUUUAGCUAGAUUCAAAAACUCACCUAAUUUUAUAAAUAAUUUUCUAAAGUUCAAACCUAAAGAUAAGUCUAGAUUCGUUCAAUUAGCAUAAUUAAAUGAAAUUUAAAUAAUUCAAUAUACUUAAUACAUAAUUACAUAUUUACGUAAAUUAAAACAUAAAUAAUGUGAUAACUUUUACCUAAGGACGAACAUCAAUGUUAUAUUGUGAUGAUUGACGAACUAACAUAUUCCAAUAUUUUAACUGUAUAGCCUAAAUCAUUGUCCAAUGAUAAGGCAAUCAUUGUCAAAUGAUUGGCAUGAGAGCCAUUCUAAUUUUUACCAAAUUCUCAAAUUCCUUCCUUACCAAAUUUUUUUUCUAACUUUUCCGAAUCAAGCCUAUUAGUUUUUUGUACAUCUAACAUAAAAAUCCUACCCUUCGAGAAAGUCACUCACGUGUAUAAGUAGGGGUGAUAAAUGAGCGAGUCGAAUCGAAUAUGGGUCGAUCAAAAAAUGAGUUAAACAAAAAUAGAUAAAUUAUUCGACUUGCUUCAUUUUAAACGGGUAAAGCGAGCUUACCCAAUGGAUAAUAUAGAUAACUAUAUUGCAUAUAUUAUAUUGAAGAUCUUAUUAAAUGUUUUAAAAAAUAUAUUUAUUUAUUUUAUCAAUUAACUCCACCCCCCCCCCCACAACCACCUCCCAAGAAAAUGUUAAAACAAAACUCUAACACCCCCCCCCCCCUCCCACCCACAAUCCAAAAAAAGAUUAACAAAUUUUUUUAAAAAAAUCUAUAAUUUUCUUUUACUUUUUAAAAAAAAUUACCACCCCACCCGCUGGACCCUACUGUCCCCCCCCCCCCACUAUCAGUCCCCCAGCCCCACCCCACCCGCUACUCCUACCAGCUCCACACACCCAUCCAAAAAAAAUGAUUAAUCUUUUUUAAGAAAAAAUUCAUUAAAUUUUUUUUAAAAAAUUUCAUAAAAAAAUAAAUAAAUGACAACUUAGAUAAAUAAACAAUGUUUUAAUAAGCACACAUUUUAUAAGAACAUCAUGGACGACAUAUUAACAAAAUAACAACAUUUAUAGCUAUAAUUUUAAAAAUAAUUUAAGUAAUUGAUAAAGGUCACUGACAACAUUUAAUAUAAGUUAAAUUUAUCUAUAGGUGCAUUCAACAAUAAAAUAUUCAUAAUUAAUAAUGUCACUCAUCAUACUAAAAUUUAUAAAUGACUAAUUUCUUUUACGAUAAAAAAAAUAUAUUUAUUUAAUAUAAAUUAAAUUUAUCUUUAGGUGCAAUUAACGACAAAAUAUUCAUGAUUAAUAACACCACUCAUCGUAGAGAAAUUUGUAGGUGACUAAUCUCUUUUAUGAUUAAAAAUUGUUAUUUUAAAAUAUUAAAGUAAUAUUAUAGCUAAACAACUGAAGAUAGAUAAUAAAUGAAUAAGAAAAACAAUAACAUUACAUAAAAAUAUGUAAAAUGAAAAGCAAACAAAUGAAUUACAAUUAUGUAGAUAUAAUAACAUUAUUUUCUUAACAAAAAGAAUUUUUUAAAAGUUAAAAACAAGAACUAAUUAAAAAUAAAAAAAAUAUGUGUCAAAGUUUGGACAAUCAAAAGUGAUUUUGAAAUUUCUCUCUCCUAAAGCUACAUUGUUUAGCCAUUACGUAAGUCUCCGUUUGAGCAACAUAUGUCAUUUUAGCGUCAUGUGUCAUUGUAUUGUCAUCCUUUUGACUUGUGUUUUUCUAUAAUUCAAAAUUUAAUUUUCAAUUUCGUUUGUAUAAUUCUUUCAUUUUACUUUCUUUUUCUUAGUGAGUAGUUUUUUCAUCUUUUAAGUUAUGUUUAUUUUGUCUGUUUCAAUUUUUUUAGUUCUCUUCUUCUUUCUUUUUUUAUUGAUAUGAUAUGACAAUCCAUUUGUCAUGAUUUUUCUUUCUUAUUAGUAAAUUUAAAAGCAAUUUAAGUUUAUUUCUUUAUUUUUUACUAUUUUCCAGUUCUGCUUUUGCUACGGAUCAAUCGCUUCGGUUAUUUUUAGUGAAUUCUUUCCCUUUUUGUUCAUCUUUCUAAUUUUAUAUAUUCUAUUAUAUGUUACUUUCUGUAUUUUCAAAUUAAUUAACAUAAUUAAAUGAUUAUGUGUUAAAAGUAAUUAGUUCAUUUAGUUAGUUAGUUAUAAUUAUAGAGUAGUUAGUUACAAUUCAAGAAGUUAGUUACUUGGGAAAUUCUUGAUUAAGGCCUCUAUAUAAACACUUCAUUGUAUCUCAAUGUGAUUAAGAACAUGAAUAAUAAAAGCUGAGAUAUUCUCUCUGUAUACUCUUCUUCUUCUUAGCUCAUCUUCUCUUCUCUUUGACUAAUCUGUUUUCCCUCUUCUUCAUCUUCUUCUUCUCUCUUUACUUCAUAACAAGUACAUGGUAUCAAAGCAGGGGAUCUAACCCUGUGAAAUCUGAAUUGCUAUUGCUUCCGCGCUAAUCAAUCGUAAAAAACAUUGAAUCAAUCGAAAUCUCUGAAAAAAUGGCUGGAGAUGAUGAACCAGUAAUUGUUCAAGAGAAUGUCAAUCGAGCUGCCAACAUUGGUCAAGAAAUUGACUACAAUCAUCCAUUGUUCUUAUCUCCAUCAGAUGUUAGUGGAAAUCAGAUCAUUUCAUUCCAGCUAACAGGUAUGGAAAACUAUGCAAUCUGGUUUCGAUCUAUGCGAAUUGCUCUACUAGGAAGAAAUAAACUUGGAAUGGUAGAUGAAUCAUGUGAUAAAGAAAAUUAUAGUGAGAAUCUAUGGAAUCACUGGGAUCGAGUUGAUGCCAUUGUUCAAUCUUGGCUGAUGAACUCUGUUUCUAAGAGUUUACUAGGAGGCAUUAUGUAUGCAGCCACAGCUAAAGCAGUUUGGCAAGAUCUACAAGAAAGGUUCAUCAAGGUAGAUGGUUCAAGAACCUUCAACCUGCAUAAGGAAAUAGCCACUUUAACUCAAGGAGUGAACUCUGUAACAGUCUAUUUCUCCAAGCUCAAGACCCUUUGGGAGGAAUUUGAGGCUUUGGUACCACCACCUGGCUGUAACUGUGAAAGAUCGAAAGAGUUCAUAGUGCAUUUGCAAAAACUGAAACUAUUUCAGUUUCUGAUGGGGCUGAAUGACUCAUAUAAUCAAGCAAGAAGUCAGAUACUACUUAUGAGUCCAUUACCUUCAAUCAAUCAAGCCUAUGCUAUGAGUCUGCUUUGUACAACAGAACAAAUGGUAAUCAAAAGUUUACAAGAAAUUCUCAUUUGUAUUGUGAUGUUUGCAAAAUAAGAGGACACAAUAAGGAUAAUUGUUGGAAAAUAGUGGGAUAUCCCCCUGAAUUCAAGUUCAAAAAAAGGAAAUUAUCUGAAGGAGGAAGUGCAGCUUACAAUGUGAGUGCAAAAGAAAACACUCAAAAUGAAGUACUUCAGGCUGGAAAUGAGCAAUCUGAGUUCAAGUAUGGUUCUGAUACUAAUGUGUUCAGUAAUGGAAAAGGUUCAAGUAGCAUGGAUCAAAUUCAGUCCAAACCAAGUCGAGUUGAGGCUAAUCACUUUACACAAGAUCAAUACAAUCAUAUAGUACAGAUGCUAGCACAACACAGUCCUCAAGUCAACCAGAAUUCUAUGUCUAACACAGCUGCAAACACAGCAGGUAUGACUAGCUUAAUGGCUAUGAAUGUGUCUCACAAACCUAAUUGGAUUGUGGACACAGGAGCAACAAAUCAUAUGGCUUCAAGUUUAGAGCAAUUAAACAAGCUAUCAGUUAAUAAGUUAGGCUAUAAUAGAACUGUUGAAUUGCCUAAUGGAGAUGAAACAAGAGUUACUCAUACUGGAUUAAGUAGUAUAUCUGAUGGUAGUACUAUAUCUAAUGUAUUGUAUGUACCAGAAUUCAAAUUUAAUUUGUUAUCAGUUUCAAAACUAACAAAAGAGUUACAAUGUUCUGCUUCUUUCUUUCCUGAUUUUUUGUUUUGCAGGAUCUCUUCACUGGGAAGGUGAAGGAGAUUGGUAGAGAGCAGAAUGGAUUAUAUUGGCUACUAAAUAAAGAUGCAAGAAGGUCUAUCAGUCUAGCUGCUCAAGAUGUUAAGAAUGUGUCAACAGACAAGAUAAAUCUGUGGCACAAAAGACUAUGAGAAUAUUUCUG